CUGCGGGGCUGCAGGGAAGGAAGCAGGGCGGGCCGCAGCUUCCAGCCAGCCGCGGUGCUCUGCAGGAAAAUCCGUGCUCCCCAGCACUGGCUGUCUUGCCAAAGCAAAACUGCUGCACAGGUGAUAGAAGCCUCUCUGUGCCACCUGCUGAGACAAGGGAGAGCCUUUCCAGCCUCACAGUGAACUUGGCAGCAGUUCUUGGAGACAAGAACAGAAGUUGCUGAUACGGGAAGGAUAAUGCCAACAAUGAGGCAUUAUUUUCAAGAAAUGACAACAAUCAUAGUGUGAGUGUCCAGGCUGAACACCAGACCAGACACUUCAGCUAUUACCCAGUUCUUAGCUUCAGCAUGUCUCUCCAUAAGAAGUCAGAUAAGACAUGUGGAGUGUACAGAUUUCCCAUUUUUUAGUCAAGAAAGAAAAACACAUUGCACAAAGCAGCUGCAUUCAACAAUACAACAAGAUACGGAUCAUUAUUCACUUGAAGACUAGAAACGUACCCAGAAAAUUUUCAAUCGUUCAGUAUGCUAAAAUAUAGAUAAAAAGAGUUAAUUACUGUUUAAUGGUAAAAUACAUUAAAAAAAUUCAGGCAAAUCUAGAAUGAAAACUUGUGACUUUCUUCAGUAUGGCACCACUCUAUUGUUUCAUUAUAAAUUUGUAAAAGGCACCACACAUUAAAACUGUAAAGCAAG
Cyanistes caeruleus (blue tit) is the source of this 689-nucleotide non-coding RNA. NCBI's taxonomy places the organism in Eukaryota, Metazoa, Chordata, Aves, Passeriformes, Paridae. The record is from RefSeq and is a predicted model, not a curated record.